This 200-nucleotide ribosomal RNA is filed under the name uncultured bacterium. RNAcentral's name for it is "partial 16S ribosomal RNA". It matches the Rfam family "Bacterial small subunit ribosomal RNA", at positions 8 to 206 of the family's 1533-position model. The record is from RNAcentral.
AGAGUUUGAUCAUGGCUCAGAAUGAACGUUGGCGGCGUGGAUUAGGCAUGCAAGUCGAACGAAUCCCGGGGGCAACCCCGGGGGAAGUGGCGAAAGGGGCAGUAAGGCAUGGGUAACUUGCCCCGGGGAUCGGGAUAGCCUUCCCAACGGAAGGGUAAUACCGAGCGUCGUGAGCGGGAGGCAUCUCCUGGUCACGAAAG